CCUACGGGCGGCAGCAGUGGGGAAUAUUGGACAAUGGGCGAAAGCCUGAUCCAGCCAUGCCGCGUGUGUGAAGAAGGCCUUCGGGUUGUAAAGCACUUUCAGUGGGGAAGAAAGCCUUGGGGCUAAUACCCUCGAGGAAGGACAUCACCCACAGAAGAAGCACCGGCUAACUCCGUGCCAGCAGCCGCGGUAAUACGGAGGGUGCGAGCGGUAAUCGGAAUUACUGGGCGUAAAGCGCGCGUAGGCGGUCUGAUAAGCCGGUUGUGAAAGCCCCGGGCUCAACCUGGGAACGGCAUCCGGAACUGUCAGGCUAGAGUGCAGGAGAGGAAGGUAGAAUUCCCGGUGUAGCGGUGAAAUGCGUAGAGAUCGGGAGGAAUACCAGUGGCGAAGGCGGCCUUCUGGACUGACACUGACGCUGAGGUGCGAAAGCGUGGGUAGCAAACAGGAUUAGAUACCCCAGUAGUC
This 465-nucleotide ribosomal RNA is filed under the name Vreelandella stevensii. Its description in RNAcentral is "partial 16S ribosomal RNA". It matches the Rfam family "Bacterial small subunit ribosomal RNA", at positions 338 to 795 of the family's 1533-position model. Lineage: Bacteria; Pseudomonadati; Pseudomonadota; Gammaproteobacteria; Oceanospirillales; Halomonadaceae. The record is from RNAcentral.